Molecule: ribosomal RNA, 278 nt
Filed under: Picochlorum sp. RCC944
Lineage: Eukaryota; Viridiplantae; Chlorophyta; Trebouxiophyceae
Description: partial Bacterial large subunit ribosomal RNA
Rfam family: Bacterial large subunit ribosomal RNA
Source: RNAcentral
GGCGUUGGAUGAUUGAGGGGAGCUGCUCCUAGUACGAGAGGACCGGAGUGGACGAACCGCUGGUGUUCGGGUUGUGUCGCCAGACGCAUUGCCCGGUAGCUAUGUUCGGAUAGGAUAACCGCUGAAAGCAUCUAAGCGGGAAGCCCCUUCCAAGAUGAGAUCUCCCUGGACCCUUGAGGUCCCUGAAGAGCCGUUCAAGACCAGGACGUUGAUAGGUCGGGUGUGUAAGCGCUGCGAGGCGUUGAGCUAACCGAUACUAAUUGCUCGUGAGGCUUGAC